Non-coding RNA from Neohortaea acidophila, 131 nucleotides. NCBI's taxonomy places the organism in Eukaryota, Fungi, Ascomycota, Dothideomycetes, Mycosphaerellales, Teratosphaeriaceae. The record is from the annotation of a RefSeq genome assembly.
GGUGAGGUGGCCGAGUGGUUAUGGCGCUAGUUUCAGGCAAUGAAAAUGCUGCGCUGAACUGGAUUUCUCUUCCAAUUCGUCAAGAAUUACUAGUGGGGAAACCUUCGUGGGUUCGAGUCCCACCGUAAGUC